ACGGGAGGCAGCAGCUAAGAAUAUUCCGCAAUGGACGAAAGUCUGACGGAGCGACGCCGCGUGGAUGAUGAAGGUCGGAAGAUUGUAAAAUCCUUUUAUGACUGAGGAAUAAGUAAGGUGAGAGAAACGCCUUAUGGUGACUGUAGGUCAUGAAUAAGCAACGGCUAAUUACGUGCCAGCAGCCGCGGUAACACGUAAGUUGCGAGCGUUGUUCGGAAUUAUUGGGCGUAAAGGGCAUGUAGGCGGUUUUGCAAGCUUGAUGUGAAAUCUCGGAGCUCAACUCCGAAAUUGCGUUGAGAACUGCAUGACUAGAGUCACUGAGGGGCAAUCAGAAUUCCAGGUGUAGGGGUGAAAUCUGUAGAUAUCUGGAAGAAUACCAAUGGCGAAGGCAGGUUACCAGCAGAUGACUGACGCUGAGGUGCGAAGGUGCGGGGAGCAAACAGGAUUAGAUACCCUGGUA
This 460-nucleotide ribosomal RNA is filed under the name uncultured Treponema sp. Its description in RNAcentral is "partial 16S ribosomal RNA". It matches the Rfam family "Bacterial small subunit ribosomal RNA", at positions 341 to 792 of the family's 1533-position model. Lineage: Bacteria; Pseudomonadati; Spirochaetota; Spirochaetia; Treponematales; Treponemataceae. The record is from RNAcentral.